This 119-nucleotide ribosomal RNA is filed under the name Helianthus annuus (common sunflower). Lineage: Eukaryota; Viridiplantae; Streptophyta; Magnoliopsida; Asterales; Asteraceae. The record is from RNAcentral.
GGUUGCGAUCAUACCAGCACUAAUGCACCGGAUCCCCUCAGAACUCCGCAGUUAAGCGUGCUUGGGCGAGAGUAAUACUAGGAUGGGUGACCUCCUGAGAAGUCCUCGUGUUGCAACCC